This 468-nucleotide ribosomal RNA is filed under the name uncultured bacterium. RNAcentral's name for it is "partial 16S ribosomal RNA". It matches the Rfam family "Bacterial small subunit ribosomal RNA", at positions 28 to 507 of the family's 1533-position model. The record is from RNAcentral.
GACGAACGCUGGCGGCGUGCUUAACACAUGCAAGUCGAACGGAAAGGCCCUGCUUUUGUGGGGUGCUCGAGUGGCGAACGGGUGAGUAACACGUGAGUAACCUGCCCUUGACUUUGGGAUAACUUCAGGAAACUGGGGCUAAUACCGGAUAGGAGCUCCUGCUGCAUGGUGGGGGUUGGAAAGUUUCGGCGGUUGGGGAUGGACUCGCGGCUUAUCAGCUUGUUGGUGGGGUAGUGGCUUACCAAGGCUUUGACGGGUAGCCGGCCUGAGAGGGUGACCGGGCCCCAUGGGGAUUGGGAACCGGCCAAGCUCCAUCUGGGGGCAAGAGGUGGGGAAUAUGCCAAAAGGGCCGGAGCCUUGAUGAAGCACCGCGGGGUGGGGAUUGCGGGCUUCGGGGUGGAAACCGCUUUCGCCUGGGGCGGAACCGUGGUGACGGUAAAUGGUAAAAGAGCCACGGCUAACUACGUG